This 916-nucleotide ribosomal RNA is filed under the name uncultured delta proteobacterium. RNAcentral's name for it is "bacterial SSU rRNA". It matches the Rfam family "Bacterial small subunit ribosomal RNA", at positions 56 to 954 of the family's 1533-position model. The record is from RNAcentral. Lineage: Bacteria; Deltaproteobacteria.
UGCAAGUCGAGCGAGAAGUAGCAAUACGAGUAAAGCGGCGCACGGGUGAGUAACACGUAGGAAUCUACCCUUGAGUGGGGAAUACCGUUCCGAAAGGAACGUUAAUACCGCAUAACGACCGCAUUCGAUGGAAUGUUGUCUAAAGGGGGCUCUCGCAAGAGGCUCCUGCUUGAGGACGAGCCUGCGUCCCAUUAGCUAGUUGGUAGGGUAAUGGCCUACCAAGGCGACGAUGGGUAACUGGUCUGAGAGGACGACCAGUCACACUGGAACUGACACACGGUCCAGACUCCUACGGGAGGCAGCAGUGGGGAAUAUUGCGCAAUGGAGGAAACUCUGACGCAGCGACGCCGCGUGGGUGAUGAAGGCCUUCGGGUUGUAAAGCCCUGUCGGUUGGGAAAAAGGUAGUCGUGCUAAUACCACGAUUGCUUGAUGGUACCAGCAAAGGAAGCACCGGCUAACUCUGUGCCAGCAGCCGCGGUAAUACAGAGGGUGCAAGCGUUGUUCGGAAUUACUGGGCGUAAAGGGCGCGUAGGCGGUUUAGUAAGUCAGAUGUGAAAGCCCGGGGCUUAACCCCGGAAGUGCGUUUGAAACUGCUAGGGCUAGAGUGCAGUAGAGGUUGGUGGAAUUCCCAGUGGAGAGGUGAAAUUCGUAGAUAUUGGGAGGAACACCGGUGGCCGAAGGCCGGCCAACUGGGCUGUAACUGACGCUGAGGCGCGAAAGCGUGGGUAGCAAACAGGAUUAGAUACCCUGGUAGUCCACGCUGUAAACGAUGGAUACUCGCUGUGGCUGGUAUUGACCCCGGCCGUAGCCCAGUUAACACGUUAAGUAUCCCCGCCUGGGAAGUACGGUCGCAAGAUUAAACUCAAAGGAAUUGAGCGGGGCCCGCACAAGCGGUGGAUUAUGUGGUUUAAUUCGA